Long non-coding RNA from Xiphophorus couchianus (Monterrey platyfish), 142 nucleotides. RefSeq lists it as uncharacterized. NCBI's taxonomy places the organism in Eukaryota, Metazoa, Chordata, Actinopteri, Cyprinodontiformes, Poeciliidae. The record is from RefSeq and is a predicted model, not a curated record. The transcript has 2 exons.
UUUUAAUGAUCCUGCAUUCAAAUGGCAGAAAAUAGUAAUCAAGAACAGGCUUUUCUUUUCACAGUGUUCCACAGCGCCUUCUCCCACGGAAUCCGAACAGAAAGAGCCGCCUGUUUAAUCAUGAACAAUACUAUUUUCAGCA